AACGCACAUUGCGCCCUUUGGUAUUCCAUUGGGCAUGCCUGUUCGAGCGUCAUUUCAAACCUCAAGCAUGGCUUGGUGUUGGGCGCCUGUCCCGCCGCUUCGCGCGCGGACUCGCCUCAAAGUUUGACCUCGGAUCAGGUAGGGAUACCCGCUGAACUUAA
Molecule: unclassified non-coding RNA, 161 nt
Filed under: uncultured fungus
Lineage: Eukaryota; Fungi
Description: partial contains 5.8S ribosomal RNA, internal transcribed spacer 2, and large subunit ribosomal RNA
Source: RNAcentral